GGAGCGAUGGCAGAGCGGUUGAAUGCGAUGGUCUUGAAAACCAUUGGGCGGGCAACCCCCGUCCCGGGGGUUCGAAUCCCCCUCGCUCCU
RNAcentral lists this transfer RNA (90 nucleotides) under Solirubrobacteraceae bacterium. RNAcentral describes it as "tRNA-Ser". It matches the Rfam family "tRNA". From Rfam's summary of the family: Transfer RNA (tRNA) molecules are approximately 80 nucleotides in length. Their secondary structure includes four short double-helical elements and three loops (D, anti-codon, and T loops). Lineage: Bacteria; Bacillati; Actinomycetota; Thermoleophilia; Solirubrobacterales; Solirubrobacteraceae. The record is from RNAcentral.